CUAUAUGUUACAGGCAACAAUAUGUCAGGAUUAGUCUACAUUUCUCCUGCCAACAACCCCUCAAAUGAGAUGCCGAAUGAGCUGUUUCCUGCUGCCAUUGAUGCGACUGACAUGACGGAAUCAACCGAGGACACCUCUAAAGAGUUAAUUUUAUGCAACUAUUUAUUGGUGUCUUCAGGUAGGGGUUUUAUUGGUUCUUCUCCAAUUGUCAGUGAAUUAUAGAAAUUCAGGAACUACGUUAACAUGAUUCAUUUAAACUUAUCGCAAUGCCGGCUUGGGAUCAUGCUGUUGGUAUUAUGUGUAC
This is a long non-coding RNA of Rosa chinensis, 304 nucleotides long. RefSeq lists it as uncharacterized. NCBI's taxonomy places the organism in Eukaryota, Viridiplantae, Streptophyta, Magnoliopsida, Rosales, Rosaceae. The transcript is spliced from 3 exons. The record is from RefSeq and is a predicted model, not a curated record.